GAUGAACGCUGGCGGCGUGCCUAAUACAUGCCAGUCGAGCGAACAGAUGAGGAGCUUGCUCCUCUGACGUUAGCGGCGGACGGGUGAGUAACACGUGGAUAACCUACCUAUAAGACUGGGAUAACUUCGGGAAACCGGAGCUAAUACCGGAUAAUAUAUUGAACCGCAUGGUUCAAUAGUGAAAGACGGUUUUGCUGUCACUUAUAGAUGGAUCCGCGCCGCAUUAGCUAGUUGGUAAGGUAACGGCUUACCAAGGCGACGAUGCGUAGCCGACCUGAGAGGGUGAUCGGCCACACUGGAACUGAGACACGGCCCAGACUCCUACGGGAGGCAGCAGUAGGGAAUCUUCCGCAAUGGGCGAAAGCCUGACGGAGCAACGCCGCGUGAGUGAUGAAGGUCUUCGGAUCGUAAAACUCUGUUAUUAGGGAAGAACAAAUGUGUAAGUAACUAUGCACGUCUUGACGGUACCUAAUCAGAAAGCCACGGCUAACUACGUG
RNAcentral lists this ribosomal RNA (497 nucleotides) under uncultured bacterium. Its description in RNAcentral is "partial 16S ribosomal RNA". It matches the Rfam family "Bacterial small subunit ribosomal RNA", at positions 28 to 507 of the family's 1533-position model. The record is from RNAcentral.